UGUGGGAGCUGGCUUGCCUGCGAUCCAGACACCUGGGUCCAUCAGGCAAAACCAGUGGAUGCCAUCGCAGGCGAGCCAGCUCCCAAA
RNAcentral lists this non-coding RNA (87 nucleotides) under Pseudomonas tolaasii NCPPB 2192. The record is from RNAcentral. Lineage: Bacteria; Pseudomonadati; Pseudomonadota; Gammaproteobacteria; Pseudomonadales; Pseudomonadaceae.